GUGCUUGUUUGGGCAGCACAUGUACUAAAACUGGUACGAUACAGAGAAGAUUAGCAUGUCCCCUGUGCAAGGAUAAUACACAAAUUUGUGAAGCAUUCCAUAUUUUA
Otolemur garnettii (small-eared galago) is the source of this 107-nucleotide small nuclear RNA. The record is from Ensembl. NCBI's taxonomy places the organism in Eukaryota, Metazoa, Chordata, Mammalia, Primates, Galagidae.